Molecule: transfer RNA, 75 nt
Filed under: Bacteroidota bacterium
Lineage: Bacteria; Pseudomonadati; Bacteroidota
Description: Bacteroidetes bacterium (activated sludge metagenome) tRNA-Val
Rfam family: tRNA
About the family: Transfer RNA (tRNA) molecules are approximately 80 nucleotides in length. Their secondary structure includes four short double-helical elements and three loops (D, anti-codon, and T loops).
Source: RNAcentral
GGGGCGUUAGCUCAGUUGGUUCAGAGCGUUGCAUUCACACUGCAAAGGUCACUGGUUCGAAUCCAGUACGCCCCA